ACAUAAUUAGUAUAUAAAAUACGUUAGAUUUAGAUUCUAAAAAUAAAUUUAUGUU
Molecule: transfer RNA, 55 nt
Filed under: Cyathostomum pateratum
Lineage: Eukaryota; Metazoa; Nematoda; Chromadorea; Rhabditida; Strongylidae
Description: tRNA-Leu
Source: RNAcentral